RNAcentral lists this long non-coding RNA (12642 nucleotides) under Theobroma cacao (cacao). RNAcentral's name for it is "long non-coding RNA (TCAC_LNC000422)". Lineage: Eukaryota; Viridiplantae; Streptophyta; Magnoliopsida; Malvales; Malvaceae. The record is from RNAcentral.
GGAGACAACUUAAAAUAGUUCAUCGUACUAUGAUUCAUAAUGUUUCAAACUCAUUUCAACUAAAUAAAAUAAUUUCAUUUCACUCAAAUAAUCAACAUGGCUUAUGAAUUUCUUAAAAAUUUGGCUCGUGCCAAAACUCAUUCUCGGGGAUACCUAGGUCGGGGCAUCCAACCAAGUCCGCCAAGACUGUUAAAGAAAAGUUCAUAUAUGCAUAAAACACAUUUUUACGUUUAAAAGCAUAGUCGUUCCUUGGCUUUGGCUGAGUUCACCCUCACGUGGUGGUUUAGCGUGUAGUGAACUCUAAAGCUUUACCUUAGGAGAUACCCUCUGCGCCUCUCGUACUGAGGUAAAAUAUAAUCGGGUUUACCGUGCCUCUCUCUAAUAGGCAGGUCCAUGAAAACCCACCACUGCAGUGACUAAUCAAUAUCCCACCAAAUCAAUAAAAGUUUUGAUAGCAUGACAUGGCAAUUAUAUUACUACCAGCCUGUUAAGGCAUAACAAACAGUUCAUACAAUUUCAACACAAUUUCCAAUUUAGCCAUUCAUGCCAAUAUCACCAUAAGCCAUUCAAUUCAAACCAUAAAUUUACAACACAAUCAAACAGUCUCCAAUUACUCAAUUUCUAAAAUCAUCAUUCAAUUUCAAAAUGAUUUAUAAAACUCAUUUCAUUUAAUCACAUUUUACUUAUAAAACAGAAAGAUUUACCAUUUAAACUCAUUUUUCUAUAAAAUCACAAAAACAAAUAAAAACUACUUUAGAUAAUUAAAAUGAUAAUAAGGUUACUCACAAUAUCGAGAGUCGAAGUACUCCUAGUCUCAAUUUUCAGGUACAAUUUUCUUACCCUUAUCGGAAGUUUCACCACCUAAACAUAAUGCACAACAAGCAAUUUACUAUAUUUGUACUAAACCGUUAUAAAACUAAUUUAGGCUUUAUAUGAAUGCAUGAAAUGGGAUGGGAAAUGUUCGGUUUAUUAUCUAAAUAUGGUGUUCUACGUAGCUUCAAUUAUGUAUCGAAAUAAAAUGGUAUUGGCCUAAUUCGAUCUAUACACCGAUUAAUUGGCCAAUACAUCCAAUUCAACUCCAAUUAACUUCAUUCCACUUCCAACACUCCAUGUAAAACCCGACCCUAUAAACACGUCAUGACAUACAUGCACUAAGUAGCAUGUUAUUAUGCUAGAAAAGUCCUAAGAAUAGACGAAACCCGGUAUUGUACCUAACGGUACACUUGAGUUAAUUUAACCUCGAACUAGUUCAAAUAGGAAUCGUAGAAUGAAAUUUGAUAUUUUACAGUCCAAGAAUGACUAAAAAUGAUUGUUCAGAGUUCGAGGGUUCAUUUGGAAAAAAAUUGAAAAUUUUGAUGUUUAGGGAUAAAAUCGUCAUUUUGCCACCUAAGAUAAUAAUUUGAUCAUGGAGUGAAAUUUUUGACCAAGAUUAACUAUUUGGAGUAUAAUUUAAUGAUAAGAAGUGAAAAAUUUCAAUUUCGGUAAUUUUUGAAACAUAGGGGCAAAACGGUAAUUUUGUCACCUUGGGGUAAAAACCGUAAUUUUCAUCACCCAAAACUUGUCAAAAUCAUACGAUUUACUUAUCUUUGGUAUGAAUAACUAUGGUAUUUUAAGUGGUGAAAAAUUGAAGUUUAAAAAACCAAAUUUUAAAAACGGGCCAACGAGAAAGUGACACAUGGCACUUUUUAAUGAUUUAAUAUUAUUUUAAUGAAAAUUCAGCCCAUUUAAACCCCAUAUUAAGUGAUGGCCGGCCAUAAGGAGAGAACAAGAGAGAAAUAGAGAGGAAAGGAAGAAAAGCGAAAAACCAAAGGAAAACUAGAAAAUUCAAAGGGGAAAUCGCGUUUUUCAUCCGUUUACAUGUCUAACGGUAAGAUUUUUUGACUUUAGCUUGAUUUCUACCUUUUCUAUGCCUUUAUUUUCAUUUAGCAUGCUUGAGGAGAGAGAUCAAAAAGUGAAACCAAGGGCUGGCCGAAUUUCAAGGGGAGAGAUUUUGAAAUUUUUAAGUUUUGAUUCUUAGUUAAAUUAGUAGUUUUAGUUAGUUAAAUGUGUAUAGAAAUCAAAUUGGGUAAGAAAGCAUAAAAUUCUCACAAUACCCACCCUUGGCCGAAUAUGCAUUGAUGUACAAUGAUGAUGAACUGAUUUUUAUUCUAAGAGAAAUGAAGAGAAAAUGAUGAAAAAUGGUUAAAUGUGAUAGAAAAACAAAGUGAAAAAUUAACCAAGUAAAUGUCUCAUUUUUGACCGAAUUUUCCAAGAAGGAAAGUGAGCUGAUUUUUGUGAUUUUAGAAGGUUAUUGGCUGAUAUUUAAUGGUUAGAAAUGUUGGAGAGAAAAUGGGACAAUUUAGAGCUAAAAUGGAGCGCGUUAGCAAUUUAACGGGUAAAGUGCAAAAAAUAGGUUAAUACCGCGUUUAAGCCGUUUUAGGCUAUUGCAUUUCAUACCAUGCAUUAGUAUAGGAUUUAAGUCAAUUAUAUAGUGAUUUAGCAUCAAUGUGGUGAAUUGGAUAAAUUUUGCAAUGUGUUUAGGAGGAGAGCCUUCCGGUAAAGGCAAAGAAGUCAUACCCCGACGAACAGUGAUCGGGGCACCUAAAAAGCAAUUAGUUUAUACAAACGGUGAGUAAACUUAUUAUUAUUGUAAAUUAUCUAGAGUUUAUUUUUAAAUGCUCUUCAUGGAUUUUAUGAAAUGAAAAUGAGAUUAAAAUAGAAUUUUUGAUGUUUUAGAGAUAAAUGUGACAAAUAAAAAUAUAUUUGUGUUGAUUAUGAAAUUGAGUAAUUGGAGGCUGUCAAUUAUUUUGAAAUAUAUAUUUUCCUAUGAAUGGCUUAUCAUAUAUGAGUAUAUGUGGCUAUAUGUUAUAAUUGCAUUGGAAAUUUAUGUAAGUUGUCUUUUAAUAUGCAGGUUAGGUAAAUAAAUAAAAGCCACAUUAUACUGUCGAAAUUUUAUUAAAAUUGGUGGGUUUAGUCACUGCAGUGACGGAUUUCUAUGGAUUGCCUAUUAGAGGGGCACGAUAAACCCGGUUAUAUAGUUGCUCCGGUAGUAGAGGCGAGAAGGGUAACUCCCGGGGUAGUGUUAGAGCUCACUUCACAUCGAACUCCUACGUGAAUGUGUAACUCGGCCAACGCCAAGGAACAACUUGUUUUAAAAAUAAAAAUGUGUUUCACGUGUAAAUAUCUUAACAACCUUGACAGACUCGGUUAGAUGCCUCGGCCAAGGUAUCCCCGAAGAUUAGUUUUGGCUUGAGCCUUAUUUUUAAUAAAAGUCAGAAGCCUUAACAACUGUUUUGGUAAAUUACAAAUAUUUUAUGAUUUAAGAAAUAAAUUGAAAACCUUAUGAAAUGGUUUGUAAUUUGUUGUUUAAACUUGCCUCUAUGUUACUCGCCUUUAAAUAUUUAUGAUAAUGUCUGUUUACUCAUUAGGAUUGCGAAAUCUCACCCACCUCCUUUUCAAAUAUUUCAGGCCAGUGGUAGCUUAUAGAUACCGAUUUUGUCGAGGAUUCCAGUUGACCCCUCUAUCUCACAGACAAUAGGUUACUAUCACCAACACUUGUUGUAUUUAGGGGCCACAUGUCAUUGUAAUUAUUAUUGUACAUUAUAACUUUGUAAAUUAUUAUAUGUAUGAAUUUAUUGUACUUUCACAUUACAAAAGAUUUUUACACGUGUUUCUAUAAAUAUUAUUUUAUAUAAAAAUAUUAUAUUUAAUCAAUAUUUUGAAUAGUAAUAUUUGUCUAUAAAUCCUUUUAAAAUAAUUUUGUCUUUUGAUUUACUUGAGCCGAAAAUGACUGAAAAUUGUUUAAAACUUAUAUGUAAGCCUUGCGAGGUUCCGAUUGGUAUUCCGGGUAAUGAGUAUCAAUUGGGACAUCGCGACGGUUGUCAUGGGCCCGAGGGAGGUUCCGGGUCAUGACAAUUCAGUUGGUAUCAGAGCAAAGGAAAAGAUAACCCUAUUCUUGAGAACUCUCGCACAUGAUCUAUGGCGAAGUAUGACUCUCCGCCCAGGAGCUUGGAAGAUGAGGGAAGGGACUGCUUUACACUUGGGUGGGAGUGAAGUACACCUCUUGCCGAGUGCUCUGAUAGGUACCAUUGAAUGCCGCCGGUGUCCAGAGGGGUGGAAGAAUUUAAUUGGUAUUAGAGCUUUUGGUUUAAAAGCUUAUGGUUUUGAAAGAAGUUUUUUAUUUUUAAAGUUCUUGGAUUCAAAGUUAUUUUAAAAUAAUUUACAAUGUCAGUGUGGCCCAGUUAAGAUUAGUUAGUUGCAUGCAGUUGCAUACAGAGUCUUAAGUCGUCUAAACCAAUUUCGUUCUUUCUGUAGAUCAUUAUGCCUCCUCGACGUGAGCUACCACCUAUCACUAGAUCUAUCGGUAGGGGAAGAGGUCACCCUAGACAGAGUCGGUCGAAUUCCAUAGAAAAGGAGUCGGCUACAUCUUCUUUUAGAGCAGUUCCUACUGCUGAGUCUACUGACAUUCCUAUACCUCCUCCACUACCUGUUGCUGCUCCUGGCAUACCUGCCAUGUCACCCGAGGCAGCUCAGGCAUUAGCGAUUUUUCUCGCUACUCUUACGAGUCAAGCUCAGGCUGGUUCAGUUUCACCCGUUGUUUCCCCUGUAACAGCCCCAGUACCACCACCUCCUAUUUCACCCUAAACACCGGACAUCUCCAUUUCUAAGAAAUUGAAAGAAACUAGACAGUUAGGUUGCGUCUCGUUUACUAAUGAGUUGGAUACGACCGCAGCUAGGGAUUAGGUUAUUCAAGUAUCGGAGACACUGGCAGAUAUGGGAUUAGAUGAUGAGAUGAAAUUGAAGGUGGUUACACGGUUAUUUGAUAAGAGAGCCCGUACUUGGUGGAGUUCAGUAAAGUCUCGCUCUUCUAUACCGCUGGCUUGGAUGGAUUUCCUCCAAGAGUUCGAUGGUCAGUACUACACCUAUUUCCAUCAGAAAGAGAAAAAGAGAGAAUUUCUGAGCUUGAAACAAGGGAACAUGACCAUUGAAGAGUAUGAAACUCACUUUAACGAGCUGACGCUUUAUGUACCUAAGUUGGUGAGAUUGGAGCAAGACCAAGUAAACUACUUUAAAGAGGGAGGUUCCGGGUCGUGACACUCCAAGUCAUCAAUUACAAGUUAAAUAAUAUGUAAUAUCACAAAAACCCAUCAUCAAUAUCUUCCUUGUAAAAUUCGGCCAUUGAAGGUUUAAUGUAGAACAUGUAAUUUUUCAUGCUUGAUUUUUACACCCUACAUCAUAAAACAACUAAAAACACCUAAAUAGCAUGAAAUUCAUCAAAGUCCAUUAUCCAAUUUCUCUCUUGAAAAUUUCAGCCAAGGACUGUGGGUGAAGGGCAUGAAAUUUCUUGCUUGUUUUUCAUGCUAAACAUCACCAAACAACUAAAAACACUAAGAUACCUUGAAAUCUAACCAAAUAAAUCAUCAAAUCUUCUCUCCCUAAAUUCGGUCAGCCAUGAAUCCUUCAUGAGAUCUUGAAUUUUAACCAUGGUAAUUGAAAAAGAAUGCAUAGGAAAGGUAGAUCACAAGCUAGAAUUAAGAAAUUUUACCUUUACUUGCUUAAUUCCUUGAAAUCCAAUGAAUUUUCUCUUGAUUUUCUUCUCUAGGGUUUGUUCUAUGCUUUUUGCCUUUUGUUCUUGCCUUGGCCGACCAAGAGAAAUGAGAUGGGAGAGUUUUAGUUGUGUUUAUAAAGGAAAAUAUAAUAAUAUUAAAGCUUGACACUUGUCACCAUGUAAUUGGUCCAUACAUAAAACUUAAUAAUUAAGCAUUUCUUCUCCACCACAUAAAAUCCCUCAAUUAUCCAAAAUAUAAAAUGAAUUUCAUGGGUUUGACAAGUGUCAAAGUGGUGCAAAAUUCCAAAAAUUCUAAUUACCUCCUUAUGGACACGUGAAAUGACCUUUUUGCCCUUAUGUUCGAAAAAUUAUCGAAAUUAAAAUUUUUCACUUCUCAAGCUCAAAUUAUGUUCCAAAAUGGCAAACUAGAUCAAAAUUUCAUCCACCAUCCCAAAUUUGCCCUCGGGUGGAAAAAUGACCAUUUUACCCCUACAUUAUGAAAAUUCCAAUUUAACUCCAAAUCAAUCCCCGAACUCUAAAUCACCAUAUUAAGUCAUUCUAAAAUUCAAUAACUCUUAAUUGCAUCUUAAAAUCUUUAUUUGAACUAGUUCAAGGCUUAAAUCAACUUAGUUGUACCACUAGGUACACUACCGACUUUUGACGAUUUUUCCAAUGUAUUCAAGUAUGCAAGCAUGUUGUCAAAGACAUGAAUGACAUGGUAAGUAUAUUAUAGGGCUGGGCUUGACAGCAUUGUCCCCCUUAAAAUAAAAUUUUGAUCGAACUCGGAGAAAAGGUAGGGGUAUUGUCUUCUCAUUUGAUGCUUGACUUCCCAUGUUAUCUCCUCCAUACGGGCAUUCUUCCACAACACUUUAACCAUUGGAAUGCUCUUGUUCCUUAAUACUCGAUCCUUUCGAUCUAUAAUACGUACAGGCUGCACCUCGAACUUUAAAUCUUCGUGCAACUCAAUCAAAGGCGUCUCAAAGAUAUGGGAGGGAUCUGGUACAUACUUCUUCAGCAUCGAGACGUGAAAGACGUUGUGAAUCUAAUCCAACUCUGGGGGUAACUCCAAUCUAUAUGCCACUAGCCUAAUCCUUUCAAUAACACGAAAGGGUCUAAUGUAUCUCGAAUUGAGCUUUCCUCACUUUGCGAACCGGAUCACACCUUUCAUUGUCCAACAAGAUACCAGAAUUUACCACAAUAGUAAUUUCAAAUAAAACUUAAUAUCUCAAAGUAUUCAAAUUAUUACCUUUUCAACGAAAGACCUUAAGAAAAUCUUUAUCAUCAAUUUCAAAUUCUAGAUUUUUUCUCUGUCUAUCAAAGUAACUUUUCUGCCUGUCUUGAGCGAUCUUUAAUAGCCUUGGAUGACCUUGAUCUUGUCAUUAAUCACAUCAAUCAGAUCUACAUUAAACAAUUUCCUCUCACCCACUUCAUCCCAACAGAGUGGAGUUCAACACUUUCUCCCAUACAGAGCCUCAUAUGGUGCCAUCCUAAUACUAGAUUGAAAACUAUUGUUAUAUGCAAAUUCCACCAACGGCAAGUGUCUAUCCCAACUGCCCGUAAAGUCAAUGACAUAAGCUCGUAGCAUAUCCUUCAAAGUCUUAUGGUCAUUUCAGACUAACCAUCUGUCUGUGGAUGAAAGGCAGUACUAAACCUCAAAUUAGUUUCGAGAGCUUCUUGGAAUUUUUGCCAAAAUUGAGAAGUGAAUCGGGGGUCUCGAUCUGACACGAUAGAAACUGGAACUCCAUGUAACCUCAUUAUCUCAUCUAUAUAAAGCUUAGCCAGCUUCUCAAUGGAAUACGUGCUAUGGAUAGCCAAGAAAUGGGCAAACUUAGUCAAUCUAUCCACAAUCACCCAUAUAGCAUCCUUCCCACUCUGCGUCCGCGGCAAACCCAAUACAAAGUCCAUAGUCACGUGUUCCCACUUCCAUUCUGAAAUAGGUAAAGGCUGAAGAGUACCCGAUGGUUUCUAAUGUUCCGCCUUGAUGUGUUGGCAUGUGAGACAUUUCACUACAAACUCUGCUACGUCUCGUUUCAUACCCGGCCACCAAUAACUUUCCUUGAUAGUUCUGUACAUUUUGGUGCUUCCGGGAUGUAAAGCAUAGGCAGAAGAAUGAGCUUCCUCCAAAAUAGCUCGUCUCAACUGAUCAUCCUUAGGGACACAAACCCGGUUCCUAAGCAUUAAGAUACCAUCAUCACCAAGUCUGAACUCAUUAGUCUCUCCAUCUCGCAACUUUUGAACUUCUCGUUUCAACUCAUCAUCAGACUUCAGCAAUUCUCUUAUUUGAUUGAACAAUGAAGGUCUCACAACGAAACUAGCAAGUAGGGUUCCAUCCUCACCAUUUCUUAAUUAGAUUCCUAAAGAUUUUAUCUCAAGUAAUAUCGAAAAAUAAGAACUCCGAAGUGUUGCUAAUGAAGAUGAGGAUUUAUGACUUAAAGCAUCUACUACAACAUUUGCCUUCCCAAGGUGAUAAUCAAUCACUAAGUCGUAAUCCUUAGUCAACUCUAACCAUCGUCUCUGUCUCAAGUUAAGCUCUUUCUAGGUGAGCAAGUAUUUCAAACUCUUAUAGUCGGUAAAAAUCCGACAACACUCACCAUAUAAGUAAUGCCUCUAAAUUUUCAAUACAAAGACUAAUGCUGCUAACUCUAAAUCAUGGGUAGGGUAAUUCUUCUCAUGCUUCUUCAACUGUCGGGAAGCAUAAGCUAUCACUUUCUCAUCUUGCAUUAACACGCACCCUAAUCCCAAUUUAAAGGCAUCACUGUACACUACAAAUUCUUUUCCAUUAACAGAAAGUGUCAAAACGAGAGCGGAGGUUAACUGAUUCUUCAACUCCUGAAAUCGACUCUCACAGACAUCAUCCCACUCGAACUUAACUCCUUUACGAGUCAAACAAAUCAAAGGAGCAGCUAUCAAUGAGAAUCCCUGAACAAACCUCCUAUAAUAACCGACUAAGCCAAGGAAACUCCGAAUCUCUGUUACCGUUUUCGGUUGCUCCCAUUGUAAAAUUGUCUCAAUCUUCUUGGGAUUGACAUAAAUUCUAGCUCCAAACACAACAUGUCUCAAGAAAACCACUUCCUUCAACCAAAACUCACAUUUAGGAAACUUGGUAUAGAGUUGUUUUUUGCGUAAAGUUUGCAGCACAAUGCGCAAAUGGGAAGCAUGUUCGUUGUCAUUCUUCGAAUAGACCAGAAUGUCAUCUAUGAAUACUAUCACGAACUUAUCUAAGUAUGGAUGGAACACCCUAUUCAUAAGAUCCACAAAAGCUGCUGAGGUAUUAGUCAGACCAAACGGCAUAACCAAAAACUCAUAAUGCCCAUAACGCGUCCUGAAAGCAGUUUUGGGUACAUCCUGCUCCUUAAUCUUCAACUGAUAAUACCCAAACCUCAAAUCAAUCUUAGAAAACACCAUAGCACCUCGUAACUGAUCAAAAAGAUCAUCGAUCCGUGAUAGAGGGUAUUUAUUCUUGAUGGUCACUCGGUUCAGCUGACGAUAAUCGAUACAUAACCGAAGAGUGCCAUCCUUCUUCUUUACAAAUAGGACUGGUGCUCCCCAAAGAGAAGUGCUAGGGCAAAUAAAACCCUUAUCUACCAAAUCUUGCAACUAGACUUUCAGUUCCUUCAACUCCACUGGAGCCAUUCGAUACGGAGGAAGGGAAAUAGGUGUAGUACUCGGGAGUAGAUCAGAAUUUUGAAGUACAACUUCUUUCCAAAAACAAUCCACGUUCGCCCGAUGUGCAGUUAAUCAGUCCAUACCCAAUAUUAAAUCGAAAUCCUGGAUCUCUAGAGGAAUUAAAUCACCUCUAAAUUCUUCCUCACCAACCAUUACCCCACAGUCUCUAUAACAAGUGUUUCUAACUAGCUUUUCUCCUAAAGAGGUGUGAACUACAAUUUCUUCCUCUAAUGGUGACAGGUUUCUAUCAAAAAAUGAUGCAAAUGUCGUGCUCACAUAAGACCUGUCCGAGCCAGAAUCUAUUAAGACAUAUGCAUCUUUAUCAAAUAAAAACAUAGUAUCUGUCACUUCAUUGGGUCGAACCCGUGCCUCAUCCUCCGUCACAGCAAAAACUCUUGUCGAAGAACGAGUCUAUGGUCUAGAGGGUGGAUGUGUCAGGGCGUUACUCUCCACAUCGGACCGUAUGGCUACUCUCUGUCUCAGUGGUAACCCAGAAGAAUCUCUCCUUUGCAUAUCUGUGUGAGCUGGUGGAGAUAGAGUAGCUAUAGUAGCUUGUCCAAACCGUGGGCAAGUACUCCUAAUAUGACCCGGUUGACCACAAUGAAAACAUCGUACAGGCUCCCUACACAGCCCAACAUGAUAUUUCUCACAAUUUCUGCGUCUAUUAGAACCUCCAAAACUCUUCGUAGGAAUAGUUAUCACAAAUCUGCUGAAUCUCAGAGGCCUCUGCUGAGGCUGUGGAAAUGGGGGCGGGAAGAUGCUACGGAAGCAGAGGUAAUACUCCUUGAAGCACAUAAAUCCUUGCCUUUUCUAGGUGGCUGACUGGAUGAUGUAUUUGGAUUCCUUCUCUUAGCAAACUCAACCUGAAUCCUCCUAUUCUCAGUCGCAAGCUUCUCAGCCCGUAGAGCCAUCUACACAACCUCUUUAUACUACUCCUUACUUGUCACUGUCAUGCACUCUCUAAUUUCAUUUCGGAGCCCUUCCUCGAAGUAGUUAGCCUGAUCCUACUCGAUUUUCACCAGAUCAGGCAAAUAAGACAUUAGCUCGUUAAAACGAGCCUCAUACUUCUCUAUUGUUAAAUUUCCCUGUUUCAGACUUAAGAACUCUCUCUUCUUUUCCUUUUGAUGAAAAUAAGUGUAAUAUUGGCCAUCGAACUCCCUUAGAAAAUCUGACCAAGUCAAAGGAGUAGUAGAACAAGAUUUUACCGAAUUCCACCAAGUACGGGCCCUCUUUUCAAGUAGUCUUAUGGCCACCAUCAAUUUCAUGUCAUCAUCCAAUUUCAUAUCCGUAAGUGUGUCUGAUACCUAAAUGAUCCAGUCUUUAGCUGCGGUUGCAUCCAGAUCACCCGUAAAAGAAAUGCAACCCAACUGCCUAGCCUCCUUAAGUUUCUUAGAAAUGGAUACAUCAGGUACCUGUGGUGGAACAGGAGGUGGUGGUGGUGGCACUGAAUGAGCGACCGGAGGAAUAGCAGAAGAGCUUGACCAGGCUGAGCCUGGCCAGUAAUAGCAGUGAGGAAAGUUACCAAUGCCUGAACUACCUCAGAAGACAUGGCAGGAAUACCAGUAGGUGGUGGAGGAUGUGGAGGAUGUGGAGGAGUCUCGGUUUGCUCAGCAGCAGGUGUUGCCCGAAAAGUGGAUGCAGUCGAUUCCCCCUCUACAGUAUCUGGCUGACGAUGUUGAGAACGACCUCUUCCCCUCCCAGCCGAUCUGGUGAGAGUUGGGUGUUCACGUCGAUGAGGCAUAAUGAUCUAUAAGAAGAGACAGAAUGAAUUUAGACAACUUUAGGUUCUAUAUGCAAUUGUAUGCAUUCAACUCAAUCUAAUCUAACUUAACUUAGGGCCACAUUGACAUUGUAAUUUUUAAAACAACUUUAAAACCAAAAGAUCUAAUACCAAUCAAAUUGUCAUGACCUAGUACUCUCCUCGAGCCCGUGAAAAUAGUAGUAAUGUCCCGAUAGACAUUCAUUACCCUGAAUGCCAAUCGAAACCUCGCAAGGCUUAAUAUCAGUUUUCGCAUCUCCCCUGUGAGCAAUAAUUACUAAAUAUCAUAUUUUAAAAGAUUAUAAGCUAUUUCCAAAUCAAAACAAUAAUAAAAAAAAUUUUCUGUCUCACAAGGGCAUUUUGGUCAUUUUUCUCAAAAAUUUUGAAACCUACUAAAAAUAUAACAUAUAGGGGAAAAUACACAUUUCAUAACUAAAAACAAGUUUUUAUGUCUAAAACAUUCAUUUAGGGUGAAAUUGUAGCUAAUAGAAUAAAAUAAAAAUAUUAAAUAAAAUAUUCUAUUUUCUUAUAAAAUAAUAUUAAUAGAACUCUGCGUAAAUAAUUUUUUUAGCGUAAAAGCAAAAUAAAUCCAUACAUACAGUAACACAGAUAACCAGAGUAUGUAACUUAAUUUACAAUGACAUGUAGGCCCCCGAAUGACCAAAGGUAACAAAAGCUGUGGACUUAUAAUUUCAAAGGAGGCAAGUCCAAUAAUAACCCUCGAUGUAAUCAACUAUUUAUGGAAUGUCUUGAUCCUAGAAUGAGUGGAAAGGAGGGUGGUGAGUUUAUAUAAACUCAGUGAGUAAACAAACAGCAUCUAAAAUAUCUAAAAUCGAGUAAAUGGAGACAACUUAAAAUAGUUCAUCGUACUAUGAUUCAUAACGUUUCAAACUCAUUUCAACUAAAUAAAAUAAUUUCAUUUCACUCAAAUAAUCAACAUGGCUUAUGAAUUUCUUAAAAAUUUGGCUCGUACCAAAACUCAUUCUCGGGGAUACCUUGGUUGGGGCAUCAAACCGAGUCCACCAAGGCUAUUAAAGAAAAGUUUAUAUACGCAUAAAACACAGUUUUACGUUUAAAAGCAUAGUCGUUCCUUGGCAUUGGCUGAGUUCACCUUCACGUGGUGGUUUAGCGUGUAGUGAACUCUAAAGCUUUACCUUAGGAGAUACCCUCCGCGCCUCUCGUACCAAGGUAAAAUAUAACUGGGUUUACCGUGCUCCUCUCUAAUAGGUUGGUCCACAAAAACCCACCACUGCAGUGACUAAUCAAUAUCCCACCAAAUCAAUAAAAGUUUCGACAGCAUGACAAGGCAAUUAUAUUACUACCCAGCCUGUUAAGACAAAACAAACAGUUCAUACAAUUUCAACACAAUUUCCAAUUCAGCCAUUCAUGCCAAUAUCACCAUAAGCCAUUCAAUUCAAACCAUAAAUUUACAACACAAUCAAACAGUCUCCAAUUACUCAAUUUUUAAAAUCAUCAUUCAAUUUUAAAAUGAUUUAUAAACCUCAUUUCAUUUAAUCACAUUUUACUUAUAAAAUAUAAGGAUUUACCAUUUAAACUCAUUUUUCUAUAAAAUCACAAAAACGAAUAAAAACUACUUUAGAUAAUUAAGACAAUAAUAAAGUUACUCACAAUAUCGGGAGUCGAAGUACCCCUACUCCCAAUCUUCGGGUAUAAUAUCCUUACCCUUAUC